UACGUAGGUGACAAACGUUAUCCGGAAUUACUGGGCGUAAAGCGCACGCAGGCGGUCUAUCAAGUUUGGCGUGAAAGCUCCCGGCUUAACUGGGAGAGGUCGUUGAAUACUGGUAGGCUUGAGGCAGUGAGAGGGGUGCGGAAUUCCCGGUGUAGUGGUGGAAUGCGUAGAUAUCGGGAGGAACACCAGUGGCGAAAGCGGCACCCUGGCAUUGACCUGACGCUCAUGUGCGAAAGCGUGGGGAGCGAACGGG
RNAcentral lists this unclassified non-coding RNA (253 nucleotides) under uncultured Caldilineaceae bacterium. RNAcentral's name for it is "contains 16S-23S intergenic spacer region". It matches the Rfam family "Bacterial small subunit ribosomal RNA", at positions 524 to 776 of the family's 1533-position model. Lineage: Bacteria; Bacillati; Chloroflexota; Caldilineae; Caldilineales; Caldilineaceae. The record is from RNAcentral.